UCCUUCCUUCAAUUCAGAUAGAUACAUCAUACGUCCCUUUUCAUUGGAGAACAUCAUCUUGUAAAUUUUAUUUCUUGCUGCAAUAAUGCUAAGUCGGUUGAAGUUAUGUAUCAUUUAUCAUGGCAUUUUUUUCUUUUUUUGGUAAAGUUUACCACGACAUUUAAUGUUACAAGAUUUUCCCAGAUAGAUUGUGGUUGGAGGGAUGUCCAUAUGCCUUCUACCUAUGGAUCCUCGCGUGGGAU
Molecule: long non-coding RNA, 242 nt
Filed under: Elaeis guineensis (African oil palm)
Lineage: Eukaryota; Viridiplantae; Streptophyta; Magnoliopsida; Arecales; Arecaceae
Description: long non-coding RNA (EGUI_LNC047266)
Source: RNAcentral